Molecule: long non-coding RNA, 532 nt
Organism: Photinus pyralis (common eastern firefly)
Lineage: Eukaryota; Metazoa; Arthropoda; Insecta; Coleoptera; Lampyridae
Exons: 2
Source: RefSeq, a predicted model, not a curated record
UCAAAUUUAUCAUAAUUGUAGAUGGAAAAUUGAUAGCUGGUGCAAAAUAUUGAUGAUUGAUGUACCUACCCUACAAGGGCGUACUGAAAGUUUUUGAGAAGUACAAUUUUUCGAAUCCUUGAAUAGGUACAAUUGCGACCGGAAAAACUUCUUUGGAGUUGAAAGGGUAAAUUGAGUUUUUCUCGAGGUUUCUCUAGGAGUUCAACUUUUGCUGCCACUCUUGCCAUAAGGAUAGGUGUAUCAGCCUCUUCCUCACAGUGGAUGAGUGCUGUCAGGCUAUUUCUGCAUGACUGUUCCAGGCAUAGGGAGAGAGAUUCGCUCGAUUUUAUUUGCUUUUCUAGUAAAUCCAAAAUUCUUUGCUGUCAUUAACGAAACAUUUUUUUGUGUGCAAUGGAAGCUCUUCUGAUUCCAUUACACUGAUUUUCUACUCUCAUAGCAUGGGAAAAUGAUACCAUAAAUUGCACUUGCCACACGGUUACAAUACUCACUACUUUGUAGAAUAUAAUGUUAUUCAAUAAAUUGUUAUCUUUUA